UCGGUUAGAUUAAAUUCUAAUCAAAUCAAAUUGACUUAUACUUAGAUCCAUUGCUAGCUAGAUAUGGAACCCAAUGGGUCACACAUAAAAAAAUUAAUCAGGGGUCUAAUUGGAUUAGAUCAUAUUUGCAAAAUUGACAUGCUAGCACAUAUUGCAAAAACUAACUCUCUAUUUUGAAUCAGGUUCAAAAUUGAUUCUAGAUUGGGCUAAUUAAGGCCAAAU
This 222-nucleotide long non-coding RNA is filed under the name Elaeis guineensis (African oil palm). RNAcentral's name for it is "long non-coding RNA (EGUI_LNC053615)". Lineage: Eukaryota; Viridiplantae; Streptophyta; Magnoliopsida; Arecales; Arecaceae. The record is from RNAcentral.